AGAGUUUGAUCAUGGCUCAGAAUCAACGCUGGCGGCGCGCCUAACACAUGCAAGUCGCACGAGAAAGCGGGAGCAAUCUCGCAAGUACAGUGGCGUACGGGUGAGUAACACGUGGAUCAUCUGCCCUGGAGUGGGGAAUAACGCUGGGAAACCGGCGCUAAUACCGCAUAUUCCCGAGAGGGGAAAGCAGCAAUGCGCUCGAGGAGGAGUCCGCGGCCGAUUAGCUAGUUGGCAGGGUAAAAGCCUACCAAGGCUGUGAUCGGUAGCCGGCCUGAGAGGGCACACGGCCACACUGGCGCUGAAACACGGGCCAGACUCCUACGGGAGGCAGCAGUGGGGAAUCUUGCACAAUGGGGGGAACCCUGAUGCAGCGACGCCGCGUGAGCGAUGAAGCCCUUCGGGGUGUAAAGCUCUUUCGGCAGGGAAGAUUAUGACGGUACCUGCAGAAGCAGCUGCGGCUAACUACGUGCCAGCAGCCGCGGUAAUACGUAGGCAGCAAGCGUUGUUCGGAGUUACUGGGCGUAAAGGGUGUGUAGGCGGCCUGUUAAGUUCCGUGUGAAAUCUCCCGGCUCAACCGGGAGGGUGCGCGGAAUACUGACGGGCUAGAGUGCGGGAUGGGAGAGUAGAAUUCCUGGUGUAGCGGUGAAAUGCGUAGAUAUCAGGAGGAAUACCGGUGGUGUAGACGGCUCUCUGGACCGCAACUGACGCUGAAACACGAAAGCGUGGGUAGCAAACAGGAUUAGAUACCCUGGUAGUCCACGCCCUAAACGAUGCAUAUUUGGUGUAGGUCAUUCAGUUGAUCUGUGCCGGAGCUAACGCGUUAAAUAUGCCGCCUGGGGAGUACAGUCGCAAGGCUGAAACUCAAAGGAAUUGACGGGGGCCCGCACAAGCGGUGGAGCAUGUGGUUCAAUUCGACGCAACGCGAAGAACCUUACCUGGGCUCGAACGGCUGGUCAACGAUCGUGGAAACACGGUUACCCCGCAAGGGGGUUCAGUCGAGGUGCUGCAUGGCUG
This 1014-nucleotide ribosomal RNA is filed under the name uncultured bacterium. Its description in RNAcentral is "bacterial SSU rRNA". It matches the Rfam family "Bacterial small subunit ribosomal RNA", at positions 8 to 1051 of the family's 1533-position model. The record is from RNAcentral.